RNAcentral lists this ribosomal RNA (452 nucleotides) under uncultured Pelotomaculum sp. RNAcentral's name for it is "bacterial SSU rRNA". It matches the Rfam family "Bacterial small subunit ribosomal RNA", at positions 933 to 1382 of the family's 1533-position model. Lineage: Bacteria; Bacillati; Bacillota; Clostridia; Eubacteriales; Desulfotomaculaceae. The record is from RNAcentral.
UGGAGCAUGUGGUUUAAUUCGACGCAACGCGAAGAACCUUACCAGGGCUUGACAUCCCCUGACCGCGUAUGAAAGUACGAAUUCACCUUCGGGUGACAGGGAGACAGGUGGUGCAUGGUUGUCGUCAGCUCGUGUCGUGAGAUGUUGGGUUAAGUCCCGCAACGAGCGCAACCCCUACGUUUAGUUGCUAACGCGUGAAGGCGAGCACUCUAGACGAACUGCCGUUGACAAAACGGAGGAAGGUGGGGAUGACGUCAAAUCAUCAUGCCCCUCAUGUUCUGGGCUACACACGUGCUACAAUGGCCGGUACAGACGGACGCAAAGCCGCGAGGUGGAGCAAAUCCUAAAAAGCCGGUCUCAGUUCGGAUUGCAGGCUGCAAUUCGCCUGCAUGAAGUCGGAAUCGCUAGUAAUCGCAGGUCAGCAUACUGCGGUGAAUACGUUCCCGGGCCUU